Molecule: long non-coding RNA, 2115 nt
Organism: Felis catus (domestic cat)
Lineage: Eukaryota; Metazoa; Chordata; Mammalia; Carnivora; Felidae
Exons: 6
Source: RefSeq, a predicted model, not a curated record
CCCGAUGCGGGGCUCAAACUCACGAGCUGUGAGAUCAUGACCUGAGCUGAAGUUGGAUGUUCAACCUACUGAGCCACCCAGGCGCCCCGCCACGGCUGCUUUUAUUAUGGUUGUCUUCCUUCAGGACUCUCCUGAGGUCAACGAAAAUAAUAGUUUGCUGGAAUCUCUAUUUUUAAUCCGGAAUUAUGAUAUCCACCCACACAGAAAGAAGACAUCAUGACUAGUGAAACUGAAUGUGCCCAUCUGUAAAAUGAGGAUGGAGGAUAUGGCUUUAAUGUGGACAUCAAAGCCCGAGGAGAACACUGACAGGCUAGAGUGAGCCAUUGGGAAGGGACCCAAAAGAAGAAAAUUGUACUGUGUUGUGGACAGAAAGAUGCCCGUGCCACCAUGAGCCACUGUUCGCUUUGGUGUUGGCCACCCCACUGCCCUCUGGGACAUAGGAAGACAGCCUCCUGAACUGGCAGCAGUUGAGGAUAUAGAUGGACAAACCACAAUUUCCUUUACUCCUUUGGCUCCUGUCCACAGGCCUCUCUACCUGAGUAAUGGGAGUCCAUUGCAAAGCCCUCUAUACCAUUAUAGUGACAAAAGCCCUACAGAGUCUUGGAAAAUACUGCUUUUGUCCUGUAGUGAAGAUUACAUUUUGCAGAAAGUGCUCUGGGUAAUGGUGGUUCGGAGAUGUUGGCUCUUCUUCUUAAGCUAGUUGCCCUUAUUUUCCAAGUUUCCAUUUAGCACAGAUGUUCUAUAAAGAAUUAUAAGAGUCCCUGGAGUUCUUGCCAAGAAGAUGCUGUUGAGGUCUACAUUAUCUACUACUCAUUGAUUGCUGAAAAUAUAAUCAUCAACUCAAUCAGUAAAUUUCAUUAAAAACCAAACAGAUGAAACAAUUUGACUAACUCUUCUUUGAGCUACAGAAGAAAAAGAACAUCUAUUAGAAAAAUAAACAGCAAUCAUGAAUAAAGUAUCUUGUUUUUAAUCUAGUCUUUUUAUAAGAUUGUCUCUAUUUCUAAAUUGUAGUUAUUCAUUCUGGGAAAAUCUGUAGUUUGUUUCUAAAUGAACGCACAAAUUACUUUAAGUACAAGAUAAACUUUUGGAAUUUAACAAUGCAGUAUUUGCUCUUUAAAUUGUUCCUUUCAUAGCAGCUAACGGAAGAGAACAAACAAUAGUUUCUCCAUAUCCUUGGAAAAGUUUAUCUUGCAAGAGGGGUGACACAAUCUUGUACUUAUUUUCUUUGUCAUUCUGAUAUGAUUAUUUAACUUCUUAUAUAUCCUGAGGUGACAAAGGAAUUUUUAGAGACCAUACUGCUCUUCACAGAACACUUCCAUUUUCUCUGAGCUAAACAUUAGGCAAAUUCUCUUAUUAGUUUUAGCUUAAGAUGAGUAUAUCUAAAGGAUCUAAUUUUUGCAAGGAAUUAAAAGGUCAGAAGAAUAAAUGAGAGAACUCCUAAAGUUAAACACGAUGCAUAUUAUUCUCCGGGCAGUAUGAAAAGGUAACUUUGUCCAGAUAUUGUGACAGGUUGAUUUGAAUAAUCUCAAAAAAUUGAUACUACAGCUAAAUAGAAUAAUACAGACAUUGGAAAUUCAGCAUUCAAGAGCAGUAGCCUUCAUUAGCUCACUCAAUGUGUACUUCCUGAGUUUUUCCACUGUAUAAAGGCCAGAGAGGCACAAGGGGGAACAGAAAACUGUAUGUACCACAGCAGAUUAGGUUGCCCUAUGCAAAGAGCACAGAAUCUACAGAAAUUAGAGGAUCAGAAAUACACAUGAAAUUUAAUUGUGAUAUAAGUCAAGAAGAGAAAACAACAUAUUUAUGUUUACUAAACAUAUACUCAUUUACUAAAAAUGAGAGGCACAAAUAAUAAAAGUUAUAGAAGAUCACAGAAGUGCAUAUGCAUUUUGAAGAUAGUUGGUCUUAGGUAAAAGUCAUUGGCCAGCAGUUGUGACCAUCAUCAUUAAGUGGCUUCAUAACAUUGGAACCUGCCUCUGACUUAAUACCACAGGGCUUCUCUAAGCAAAGUUCCUUUAGUUAGACAGAAAAACCACAUCUUUCUGUAAGUAAUAGCAAAACAUAGUUCUUCCCAGUGCAUCUGGUGAUCCUUCCAAGUUGGGCAGUGAGUAACAAUUU